CCUGGCUGAGAGGAUCCAGGGAGAGGAGAAAGCUCGCCUGUUUGACCUGGCUGAGAGGAUCCAGGGAGAGGAGAAAGCUCGCCUGUUUGACCUGGCUGAGAGGAUCCAGGGAGAGGAGAAAGCUCGCCUGUUUGAGCUAUCCUACACAGAGAGUCAGUCCUCCCAUAGCAAACAAAUGGGUGUAUGAGCAUUAACCAUAAUCACAUACAGUAUAUGGUCAAGAUUUGUACAGUGGUGCUUGUUAUGGUCAUUGUAUACAAGUUGUGUUCUUUGUGAUUGACAGCUAUGUAAGGAAAUCGUGGAGAGGCACACAGGCUACCCACCCAACUGGGAUAAGAACCUGUCCCUGGCCAGCGAGAGGCUCCUGCAGCAUCCAGCACUUCAGCCUGUACCUGGACAAGGAGCCCACAAACUCCCAGGCCCCCGGGGUGGUGUUGUCCAGACAAACAGGACCCUGACUGCACCUCACACUGCGGGAAUGUUUUCCACUGGGGACGUUACAUGACUUUUGCAACCUGGACUGAACCCAAUCAAGCUGUUCAUCUCUCACACACACUCUUUUAUUUACUAUUUCCCUGUCUCUCUCUGUAUCUCUUUCUCUGCCUCUCUCGCGGCUUUUAACGUUGUGAUUAUGUGGCCUCCAGCUUUAGUUCUCCCAUUAGGACGGUCAGGCUGAGAUUGAGGGAAACCCAAUGUGUGCGCAGAAAUGGAGGAUUAGAGCAGGCUCUUAAUCUAGGACAGACUUGUUCCGUGCCACGCUUUCCUCUGGACUCUUAGCAUGACCCAGGCUCCAAAUCACCACCGCUGCCCACCGACUAUCCAUCCGGCUGAGAUGGUCCUUUAAAAAACAAAUGGAUUCAAGGAGCUUUUUUGCUCCUUUUGACAGCAGAGCUAUAAUCCCUCACGGAUUUAAAUGACACAUUAAAUGUUACAAUGCCAGGGACGCAUUUAGAGGUGUGUGCUCCUCCUGUGAUACACAGACACGAGGACAGAAACACACACCACACACACACACACACUGAACAGUGGAGCACUUUCAACUUCACAGAGACAUUUUGUUGCGCAGACAUUGAGAGUCACAACUACGCUAACACAGACAGAGACAUUGCACACAGACAUGCAAGGGUCCUCAGCAGGGACUCAUUCCUCUGUUCUAGGAGAGACCUACCUCGCUCACCUUCCAUUCCCUCGUUCCUCUGUUCUCGGAGAGACCUUCUACCUCGCUCACCUUCCACAUUCUGACUGUGAACAUGCUAUUUUUUUUCUGCUGUCCACAGAUUAAAAUACUCUAACAAAGAUUCAUUUUUCCACUUAAAAUGUUCUCAGAGCUUUACUUUUUUUAUACUGUGUUUAUUUUUUCUAUGAGACAUUUUAUUUCUGGUGUAAGUAUUUAUUGAUGUAUACAAAUAUGACAAAUUAGUAUUAGAAGGAGAUGCAAAAAAAUCUAUGAAUCUAUAGUACAAUGUGCCGCUGUUGAAUAUAUUUAGUGUUUUUUGCUCCGUCACCUUACUUUAUCAUUUACCUUUUCUUGUGUCCUCUCUUCUGCUUGAAUCUCCCUCUAUCUGUCUCCCUCUCCUGUCUCCCUCGCUCUCUCUCAUCCCUCUCUUAUGUCCCUCUCUUCCACUGUCUCCCCCCCGCCCCCUGUCUCUGAGAGUCGGUUGCCCACCCCAAAUCAGCAAGCUGCUGAAGGAUUGUAGGAACCCAUGGAAUCGCCGUGACCACGGAUGCAGGCAGGCAGCCACGGCAACGCUGGAAUGUGGGGCGUCUGAGGAGAUAAGAGCUCAGGCUAUGUGUCUGCUGAGGAAUGAAUAGGGACCAAUGGGAGGUUCUGAUCAGCAGCCUGGGGCUCCACUGCCUAGGAGCUCUGGGAUUAGGGCUAAAUCCUGCCCUGCCAGAUGGGCACCAGCACCACAUCAAUCCCACCCACCACCACCAACCUUAGACCUCAGGGCCAGGCCUUGCUCCCCCUGGCCUGCACUGGGCUCUGUGGACCGGACAAUAGGGAGAUGGAACCCCUUCGGGAGCUCAGAAGAAAACAGGAAGUCCCCAGUCCAGAGCUUCCGGCGACGGUCCCCAGUGCAGAGCUUCCGGCGACGGUCCCCAGUCCAGAGCUUCCGGCGACGGUCCCCAGUCCAGAGCUUCCGGCGACGGUCCCCAGUCCAGAGCUUCCGGCGACG
Molecule: long non-coding RNA, 2177 nt
Organism: Oncorhynchus tshawytscha (Chinook salmon)
Lineage: Eukaryota; Metazoa; Chordata; Actinopteri; Salmoniformes; Salmonidae
Source: Ensembl